This 441-nucleotide ribosomal RNA is filed under the name uncultured bacterium. RNAcentral's name for it is "partial 16S ribosomal RNA". It matches the Rfam family "Bacterial small subunit ribosomal RNA", at positions 338 to 795 of the family's 1533-position model. The record is from RNAcentral.
CCUACGGGGGGCUGCAGUGGGGAAUAUUGGGCAAUGGAGGAAACUCUGACCCAGCAACGCCGCGUGAAGGAUGAAGGUUUUCGGAUUGUAAACUUCUGUCGCGAGGGAUGAAGAAUGACGGUACCUCGUAAGAAAGCCCCGGCAAACUACGUGCCAGCAGCCGCGGUAAUCCGUAGGUGGCAAGCGUUAUCCGGAUUGACUGGGCGUAACGGGUGCGUAGGUGGUUUAGUAAGCUGGCGGUGUACGUCCGGGGCUCAACCUUGGUGCUACCGCCAGAACUAUUAGACUAGAGUGCAGGAGGGGUAAGUGGGAUUCCUAGUGUAGCGGUGGAAUGCGUAGAUAUUAGGAGGAACAUCAGGGGCGAAGGCGACUUACUGGACUGUAACUGACACUGAGGCACGAAAGCGUGGGGAGCAAACAGGAUUAGAUACCCGAGUAGUC